This 253-nucleotide ribosomal RNA is filed under the name uncultured bacterium. RNAcentral describes it as "partial 16S ribosomal RNA". It matches the Rfam family "Bacterial small subunit ribosomal RNA", at positions 524 to 776 of the family's 1533-position model. The record is from RNAcentral.
UACGUAGGGUGCGAGCGUUAAUCGGAAUUACUGGGCGUAAAGCGUGCGUAGGCGGUUCGUUAAGUCAGUUGUGAAAUCCCCGGGCUCAACCUAGGAACUGCAUCUGUGACUGUAUAGCUAGAGUACGGUAGAGGGGGAUGGAAUUCCGCGUGUAGCAGUGAAAUGCGUAGAUAUGCGGAGGAACACCGAUGGCGAAGGCAAUCCCCUGGACCUGUACUGACGCUCAUGCACGAAAGCGUGGGGAGCAAACAGG